This 776-nucleotide ribosomal RNA is filed under the name uncultured bacterium. RNAcentral describes it as "bacterial SSU rRNA". It matches the Rfam family "Bacterial small subunit ribosomal RNA", at positions 8 to 798 of the family's 1533-position model. The record is from RNAcentral.
AGAGUUUGAUCAUGGCUCAGGACGAACGCUGGCGGCGUGCUUAACACAUGCAAGUCGAACGAUGAAGCCCAGCUUGCUGGGUGGAUUAGUGGCGAACGGGUGAGUAACACGUGAGUAACCUGCCCUGGACUCUGGGAUAACUUCGGGAAAUCGGAGCUAAUACCGGAUAGGACCUUUCACCGCAUGGUGGGGGGUGGAAAGUUUUUCGGUUUGGGAUGGACUCGCGGCCUAUCAGCUUGUUGGUGAGGUAAUGGCUCACCAAGGCGUCGACGGGUAGCCGGCCUGAGAGGGUGACCGGCCACACUGGGACUGAGAUACGGCCCAGACUCCUACGGGAGGCAGCAGUGGGGAAUAUUGCACAAUGGGCGCAAGCCUGAUGCAGCGACGCCGCGUGAGGGAUGACGGCCUUCGGGUUGUAAACCUCUUUCACCAGGGACGAAGCGCAAGUGACGGUACCUGGAGAAGAAGCACCGGCCAACUACGUGCCAGCAGCCGCGGUAAUACGUAGGGUGCGAGCGUUGUCCGGAAUUACUGGGCGUAAAGAGCUCGUAGGUGGUUUGUCGCGUUGUUCGUGAAAACUCACAGCUUAACUGUGGGCGUGCGGGCGAUACGGGCAGACUAGAGUACUGCAGGGGAGACUGGAAUUCCUGGUGUAGCGGUGGAAUGCGCAGAUAUCAGGAGGAACACCGGUGGCGAAGGCGGGUCUCUGGGCAGUAACUGACGCUGAGGAGCGAAAGCGUGGGGAGCAAACAGGAUUAGAUACCCCGGUAGUCCAA